GAGUUUGAUCCUGGCUCAGGAUGAACGCUGGCGGCGUGCUUAACACAUGCAAGUCGAACGGGAAAUAUUUCAUUGAAACUUCGGUCGAUUUAAUUUAAUUCUAGUGGCGGACGGGUGAGUAACGCGUGGGUAACCUGCCUUAUACAGGGGGAUAACAGUCAGAAAUGGCUGCUAAUACCGCAUAAGCGCACAGAGCUGCAUGGCUCAGUGUGAAAAACUCCGGUGGUAUAAGAUGGACCCGCGUUGGAUUAGCUGGUUGGUGGGGUAACGGCCCACCAAGGCGACGAUCCAUAGCCGGCCUGAGAGGGUGAACGGCCACAUUGGGACUGAGACACGGCCCAGACUCCUACGGGAGGCAGCAGUGGGGAAUAUUGCACAAUGGGGGAAACCCUGAUGCAGCGACGCCGCGUGAAGGAAGAAGUAUCUCGGAAUGUAAACUUCUAUCAGCAGGGAAGAUAGUGACGGUACCUGACUAAGAAGCCCCGGCUAACUACGUGCCAGCAGCCGCGGUAAUUC
RNAcentral lists this ribosomal RNA (516 nucleotides) under uncultured bacterium. RNAcentral's name for it is "bacterial SSU rRNA". It matches the Rfam family "Bacterial small subunit ribosomal RNA", at positions 9 to 526 of the family's 1533-position model. The record is from RNAcentral.